UAGGGAUAUUGGUAAUGGGCGCAAGCCUGAACCAGCAACGCCGCGUGUGCGAUGAAGGCCUUCGGGUUGUAAAGCACUUUUGACCGGGACGAGGAAGGACGGUACCGGUGGAAUAAGCCUCGGCUAACUACGUGCCAGCAGCCGCGGUAAAACGUAGGAGGCGAGCGUUAUCCGGAUUUACUGGGUGUAAAGCGCAUGCAGGCGGUCGGCGAAGUUGGAUGUGAAAGCUCCUGGCUUAACUGGGAGAGGUCGUUCAAAACUGGCCGACUAGAGGAUGGUAAGGGAAAGCGGAAUUCCGGGUGUAGUGGUGAAAUGCGUAGAUAUCGGGAGGAACACCAGUGGCGAAGGCGAUCUUCUGGUCUGUUUCUGACGCUCAGACGCGACAACUAGGGUAGUAAACGGGAUUAGAGACCCCGGUAAUCCUAGCCGUAAACGAUGUGAACUUGGCGUUGGUGGCUUAAACACCAUCAGUGCCGAAGCAAACGCGAUAAGUUCACCGCCUGGGGACUACGGCCGCAAGGUU
RNAcentral lists this ribosomal RNA (523 nucleotides) under uncultured Chloroflexota bacterium. RNAcentral's name for it is "bacterial SSU rRNA". It matches the Rfam family "Bacterial small subunit ribosomal RNA", at positions 356 to 895 of the family's 1533-position model. Lineage: Bacteria; Bacillati; Chloroflexota. The record is from RNAcentral.